RNAcentral lists this non-coding RNA (880 nucleotides) under Eviota kermadecensis. RNAcentral describes it as "partial small subunit ribosomal RNA". It matches the Rfam family "Bacterial small subunit ribosomal RNA". The record is from RNAcentral. Lineage: Eukaryota; Metazoa; Chordata; Actinopteri; Gobiiformes; Gobiidae.
UCAACUUUGUCUGAACUUAUACAUGCAAGUAUCCGCAGCCCUGUGAGAAUGCCCUGCAUUGCCCGUAAUCGGGAAAGAGGAGCUGAUAUUAGGCACAACCCUGCGUUCGCCCAUGAUAUCUUGCUUAGCCACGCCCCCAAGGGAAUCCAGCAGUAAUAAACAUUAAGCUAUAAGUGCAAACUUGCCUUAGUUACCAUCAAGAGGGCCGGUCAACCUCGUGCCAGCCACCGCGGUUACACGGGACUUGGGCCCUAGCUGACAGAAUUCGGCGUAAAGGGUGGUUAGUAGAAGCCUAACUAAAGCCGAACACCUUCUAAGCUGUUAUAAGCUACUGAAGGCAGGAAGCCCCCCAACGAAAGUGGCUUUAAACCCUAUGACCCCACGAAAGCUAGGAAACAAACUGGGAUUAGAUACCCCACUAUGCCUAGCCUUAAACAUAAACAACUGCAUACAACAGGCGUUCGCCCGGGGACAACGAGCCUAAGCUUAAAACCCAAAGGACUUGGCGGUGCUUUAGACCCCCCUAGAGGAGCCUGUUCUAGAACCGAUACUCCCCGUUCAACCUCACCCCCUCUUGUUAGAUACCGCCUGUAUACCUCCGUCGCCAGCUCACCCCAUGAGGGGCCAAUAGUAAGCACAACUGGUAUAAACCUAAUACGUCAGGUCGAGGUGCAGCUUACGAGGGGGGAAGAAAUGGGCUACAUUUUCUGACCCAGCAAAUACGAAUGUUGUGCUGAAAAGACAUCUGAAGGUGGAUUUAGUAGUAAAGGGGGAGUAGAGCGCCCCCUUGAAAACGGCCCUGAAGCGCGCACACACCGCCCGUCACUCUCCCCAAACCCUGCAACCUAUAGAUAAUAAGCCUAAGCACACAACAGAGGGG